AACAACCGCUAGGGGUGCCUUAAGUAAUGGGCUGAGAUUAAAGUGUUUCUUUAAGACCCUUAUAACCUGAUCUGGUUUGUACCAGCGUAGGGAAGUGGCUUACGGCAUUU
This 110-nucleotide non-coding RNA is filed under the name Metabacillus harenarius. RNAcentral's name for it is "Bacillus weihaiensis TPP sequence". It matches the Rfam family "TPP riboswitch aptamer (THI element)". Rfam says of the family: Vitamin B(1) in its active form thiamin pyrophosphate (TPP) is an essential coenzyme that is synthesised by coupling of pyrimidine and thiazole moieties in bacteria. The previously detected thiamin-regulatory element, thi box was extended, resulting in a new, highly conserved RNA secondary structure, the THI element, which is widely distributed in eubacteria and also occurs in some archaea. Lineage: Bacteria; Bacillati; Bacillota; Bacilli; Caryophanales; Bacillaceae. The record is from Rfam by way of RNAcentral.